AGGCAGGGUUUCCCUUCCUCUCUCAUUGUGUUCCUACCAAAGCUAUAUAUUUGGUCAAAGAGCCAACAUUUCCCAAUAGAGGAACAACAUUCUUUGCUCAAGGGUAGAUAAAGAGCUAUGCUCAUGUGCUGAGACAAGCUGCCAAGGUCCAUAUGGGAUAAUGUUAGGCUUGCACUGUAUUUCUUCU
Molecule: small RNA, 187 nt
Filed under: Phascolarctos cinereus (koala)
Lineage: Eukaryota; Metazoa; Chordata; Mammalia; Diprotodontia; Phascolarctidae
Description: 7SK RNA (ENSPCIG00000029977.2)
Source: RNAcentral